RNAcentral lists this long non-coding RNA (584 nucleotides) under Malus domestica (apple). Its description in RNAcentral is "long non-coding RNA (MDOM_LNC009047)". Lineage: Eukaryota; Viridiplantae; Streptophyta; Magnoliopsida; Rosales; Rosaceae. The record is from RNAcentral.
GAUGAAAUAGGUUAUAAAUAAAUACCUAUUUGGGAACUUUUGACUUGAUUGAGGGAUGAUUGUCCAUUGCUUGUGCGUAAGAAUUCUGGUGUGCCUUAAGGGUAAUUUUGUCAUUUUUACCAAUAAAUUCACGUGUCGCCUAUUGAUUAUUUUUGGCUCCACAAAUGCCCCCACACUUGUUGGGCUGCUUGUAGAAAAGGGCAACAGGUGUAAAGAUUUUUUUGCUUUGAGAAACAUAAGAUUGUUUCCUAUUUUGAUGCAAAUUCCCUCUUUAAUAGGAAAUUAGAUCUUUCUAGGAAAGGAAAUAAAUUUCUCAAAGCAUAUUUAAGUCCACCUUCAGUGGGUUAUUAAAUCAACUUUGUUUAGCGAUUUAUUCUACCCUACAAGAGAGAGAAAGCUUAGAGGAUAUUUGUUCCCCCUCCUCUAGCAAUCUUCAACAUCUUGCAUGUGCAAAUGAUUGUCUUUUGUUGACUUCUUUGUCUUCUCCGCACCGCACCGAUGUAAAAAAAACUUAAUACUCCUUGUCUUCUUCUUAGUGGUGCUGCCACGGGGCAGCCGUCGGGGUGGUGCGACACGUCGGCUGG